AAGCAUUACACUUUUACCAUGGAUACAUCGCUCUGUCUACGACUCCUACUUCUACUGACAAUCAGUGAAAUUCUAAUAGUAAUUGAAUGCUCCCAAGAUGUUCAAGUAGAGGUGACCAAUUGUGGCGUUGGAUUCGAGUUGAUUCAGCACCGUUUCGAUACCCUUCAGUUCAAAUUUUUGGAGCUUUCAGUUAAUGUUAUGGAAUUUUCAGAAGCUGUUCAAAACAAACAACGUUCAAUUGAAGAACAAAUUUUCCGUUUGGAAACCAGCGUCGCUGCAAAUCUGGCGCUCGUGACUAAUUACUCCAGACAAGUUCUGGAACUACAAACAAUUUGCUCCAAUCAUGAUCAUAUCCGAAAUGAGCUGAGAAAGCUGCAACC
Molecule: long non-coding RNA, 380 nt
Organism: Culex quinquefasciatus (southern house mosquito)
Lineage: Eukaryota; Metazoa; Arthropoda; Insecta; Diptera; Culicidae
Exons: 3
Source: RefSeq, a predicted model, not a curated record